CCAGACUCCUACGGGAGGCAGCAGUGGGGAAUCUUCCGCAAUGGGCGAAAGCCUGACGGAGCAACGCCGCGUGAUCGAAUGAAGGCCUUCGGGUUGUAAAGAUCUGUUGACAGGGACGAAUAAGCAAUGCGAAUAGUUUUGUGUAUGACGGUACCUGUUUAGAAAGCUCCGGCUAACUACGUGCCAGCAGCCGCGGUAAUACGUAGGUGGCAAGCGUUGUCCGGAUUUACUGGGUGUAAAGGGCGUGCAGCCGGGAGUGCAAGUCAGAUGUGAAAUCCCGCGGCUCAACCGCGGAACUGCAUUUGAAACUGUGCUUCUUGAGUGCUGGAGAGGCAGACGGAAUUCCUAGUG
Molecule: ribosomal RNA, 351 nt
Filed under: uncultured bacterium
Lineage: Bacteria
Description: bacterial SSU rRNA
Rfam family: Bacterial small subunit ribosomal RNA
Source: RNAcentral